AAAAAAAAAGGAAAACUAG
This 19-nucleotide small RNA is filed under the name Arabidopsis thaliana (thale cress). Its description in RNAcentral is "ATSL219290". Lineage: Eukaryota; Viridiplantae; Streptophyta; Magnoliopsida; Brassicales; Brassicaceae. The record is from RNAcentral.